GUCGCCUGUCCGGAACUGUUGCUGCCGGCGCCGGCGACGUCCCCGACCUAUUGCUGCCUUCCACAACUCCUUCAUGCUGCUGCCGAUGACCUCCCCGAUCUGCAGCUGCCCUUUGAGGUUGUUCUAUCAAGGUUGCAAGAGCAGGGAGCACACUCUGAGGCGAGAUACUGAGGGGCAAUAGACUGCAUUAGAAAGACCUUGAUGCUUUGGAAGCCAAUAUGGAGUUCAAAUUGAAUUCAGUCCCAUCCUACCUUCAACAAGACAAGGAGCGGUCACCUUGGAGCCCUAAACCGGCAGCAGGCUUCUUUGAUCUGGAGAAUGGAAACAGGAGGUCAAGAUUGACCUUAAGCACCUCCACAUCAACACUACAAUGUGAUGCAGCUGAUGGAGGGAGGACGCCAAGCGGCGCGGCAUGGUCUUGGUC
Lolium rigidum is the source of this 424-nucleotide long non-coding RNA. RefSeq lists it as uncharacterized. The record is from RefSeq and is a predicted model, not a curated record. The transcript is spliced from 5 exons. Lineage: Eukaryota; Viridiplantae; Streptophyta; Magnoliopsida; Poales; Poaceae.